ACGGGAGGCAGCAGUGGGGAAUAUUGGACAAUGGGGGAAACCCUGAUCCAGUGACGCCGCGUGAGUGAAGAAGUAUUUCGGUAUGUAAAGCUCUAUCAGCAAGGAAGAAAAUGACGGUACUUGACUAAGAAGCUCCGGCUAACUACGUGCCAGCAGCCGCGGUAAUACGUAUGGAGCAAGCGUUAUCCGGAUUUACUGGGUGUAAAGGGAGCGUAGACGGUUUUGCAAGUCAGAAGUGAAAGCCCGGGGCUCAACCCCGGGACUGCUUUUGAAACUGUAGAGCUAGAGUACAGGAGAGGUAAGCGGAAUUCCUAGUGUAGCGGUGAAAUGCGUAGAUAUUAGGAGGAACACCAGUGGCGAAGGCGGCUUACUGGACUGUAACUGACGUUGGGGCUCGAAAGCGUGGGGAGUAAACAGGAUUAGAUACCCUGGUA
Molecule: ribosomal RNA, 434 nt
Filed under: uncultured Lachnospiraceae bacterium
Lineage: Bacteria; Bacillati; Bacillota; Clostridia; Lachnospirales; Lachnospiraceae
Description: partial 16S ribosomal RNA
Rfam family: Bacterial small subunit ribosomal RNA
Source: RNAcentral